This 76-nucleotide transfer RNA is filed under the name Desulfovibrio sp. RNAcentral's name for it is "tRNA-Ala". It matches the Rfam family "tRNA". Rfam says of the family: Transfer RNA (tRNA) molecules are approximately 80 nucleotides in length. Their secondary structure includes four short double-helical elements and three loops (D, anti-codon, and T loops). Lineage: Bacteria; Pseudomonadati; Thermodesulfobacteriota; Desulfovibrionia; Desulfovibrionales; Desulfovibrionaceae. The record is from RNAcentral.
GGGGCUGUAGCUCAGUUGGGAGAGCGCUUGAAUGGCAUUCAAGAGGUCAGGAGUUCAAUUCUCCUUAGCUCCACCA